Molecule: long non-coding RNA, 5400 nt
Filed under: Sus scrofa (pig)
Lineage: Eukaryota; Metazoa; Chordata; Mammalia; Artiodactyla; Suidae
Description: lncRNA (ENSSSCG00055026615.1)
Source: RNAcentral
AUAAAUGGUUGCAUAUAAAAGUAGUAUACUGUAUAUACUCUGUGACAUGGUUUUUUUUUUUUUACUCAACUUCCAUUUAUUUGAUGACUAUUUGUCAGGUAGUUGCAAGGUUCCAGGCACUGUCCUGAAUUUCUAGUAAUAAACUGGACAACCAACUGAGAAAAUUAGACCCCUGAGUUCAUAGAGUUCACAUGGGCAAUCUCUUCAUGCAGUAAAAUAGAUAAAUUGCAUGCUUUUCAAUGACCGUGUAAUAGUCUAUAAUAUGGGCAUGUUGGAUUUCAUCUAGCCAUUCCUGUAUUGAUGGAUGUUUAGACUAUUUCCAGUGUUUGGCUGUGACAGUACUACCAUGAGCACACUCAUUCAUGGCUCCUUGGGCACAUGUGCAUGUGUCUGGGUAGAUGCUAAGUGCCCCACUAAGAGGUUCCAGUGGUAUGUAUGAGAGGACUCACUUUUGCCCAUCCUUUCUAAUGCUAUAUAUCAUCUGAAUUUUAUGCAUUUUACCCAUCUCACGAAUGCAAAAUGGAAUCUUGUUAUUUCAUGUCAAUCAAGUUUUCAUGUUGUUCUCUCUACUCACUAUUGUGGAUGAAAUGCACAAGUUGAGCUAAAUCACCACAAGCCCUUGUUAGUUUAUAAAUUCCACCUUGAUGGGAAUGGAUCUUAAGGACAAUACAGGCUAAAAAUGGAUAUCAAGUAACCACAUAAGUAAAGUAGCUGUCUUUGGUCUCCCUCUGCCUUCUUUGUUGGAGAAUUUUCAUGAUCCUAAAGCUCCCCCAGAAACCCAGAAAUUAGUUUCCCUGGUGGUCCUCUCUGAUUUCCUCUGGCAUGGUCUUCUAUAUUUAAAUUUCAACUCUAAUAAUCUGCCCAUCAAAGAAUCAAGAGGUUUGCAAGGGGAAGAAACAGCACAUAUAAAGUCACUGUGCAAGAAUCUAUGCUGGGCACAGAGGAGGUUCCACUCAGUAUUGGGUGAGUGUAUGGAUUAGUCAUGAGUGACUCCAUGUAUCAUAGUCUAAACUAGGAGGUAGAGAGUAGUGAGAGGGAGGGUUGAGGGAAGGACAGGAUCCUGAUCACGAAGAGUGAGAUGCUGAGGUUUUGGCCUUGACUCUAUGCACAAUAGGAAGUCCUUCCAUGUUUAUUAGAACUGUCUGUAAAACUGUUGUCUGUUGUCUGGGCGUUAUUGUUUAACUAAAAGAAGAAGAAAACACUCUUCAAAGAAAUCUCCUCCUGGUAUUAAGAUUAGUGAAUUAGGACCAUAGGUGGUUUGAUGAACACAAAAUUGAAGCGGAAGUAGGAGGAUGGCUUUGAGGGAGAGAGUAACUGUAAGAACAAUACAGUCCUUUGUUCAGCAAAUGUUUAUUGGUGUUCACUCCAUGCAAGGUACCAUUUAAAUGCUGAAGAUAUCAACUGCACAGAAAAAAAUAAAGUUUCUACUCUCAUAGAACUUAUGUUCCAGUGGGGGUGAAUGAGGGUGGGGUAAACAGUCAUGUGCUAUGUCAGGUGGUAGGUGCAUUGAGAAAAGCUCAAGUGAGGAGAAGGCAUUGAGAGUGAUUAAAAGGAAGAGUAAAAGCGAGCGAUGCAGAUGCGGGAAUGGGGACAUCAGGGUAGGGGGAGUAACAAGUGCAAAUGUCCUGAGGCCAGGUGUGCUUGACAUGUGCAGGGAACAGAUGUUUAUGGGGCACCUGUGAUACACCAUUUUUGAGUUGCUAGAAUAGAAUGGUAAACAAAGGGAGGCAAGAUUGCUGCUCUUACGAGGAAUAUCUUCAUGAUGUACUUAUAUUUUAUUAGUUUCUUUCUUAGAGGAGCUGUAGCCGCCGGCCUACACCACAGCCACAGCAGUGCCAUAUCUGAGCUGUAUCUGCCACCUACACCACAGCUCACUGCCAUGCCAGAUCAUCAACACACUGAGCAAGGCCAGGGAUCAAACCCGCAACUUCAUGGUUCCUAGUCGGAUUCAUUUCUGCUGUGCCUAGUCGGAUUCAUUUCUGCUGUAGGAACUCCUACAGUAUUUGUCUUUAUCUGACUUAUUUCACUUAGCGUAAUGUCCACCAAGUUCACCCAUGUUGCUGCAGGUGGCAAAAUUUCUAUGACUGAAUAGUAUUCCAUUGUGUACAUAUACCACAUCUUCUUUAUCCAUUCAUCUGUUGAUGGACACUUAGGUUGCUUCCAUAUCUGGGCAAUUGCAAAUAAUGUUGCUAUGAACAUUGAGGUGCAUGUAUCUUUUUGAAUUAGUGUUUUUGUUUUUUUGGAAUAUAUACCCAGAAGUGGAAUUGCUGGGUCAUAUGGUAGUUCUGUUUUUGGUCUUUUGAGAAACCUCUAUACUGUUUUCCACAGCGACUAUACUAAUUUACAUUCCCACCAACACUGUAUGAGGGUCCCCCUUUCUCCACAUCCUCAAUAACGUUUGUUGUUUGUGUUCUUUUUGAUGGUAGCCAUUCUGACAGGUGUGAGGUGAUAUCUCUCCAUGGUUUUGACUUAUAUUUCCCUGACGAUUAGCGAUAAGCAUUUUUCAUGCGCCUGUUCGCCAUCUGCAUUUCCUCUUAGGAAAAAUAUCUAUUCAGUUCUUCUGCCCAUUUUUUAAUUGAGUUGUUUGCUUUUUUGAUGUUGAGUUGUAUGAGUUGUUUAUAAAUGUUGGAAAUUAAUCCCUUCUUGGUCAUAUCGCUUGCCAAUAUUUUCUCCCUUUUAGUAGGUUGUCUUUUUGUUUUGUUGAUGAUUUCCUUUGCUGUGUCAUUUUAAAAUUUGGAGUAAUUGUUGGGCCAUCUAUCUUUGGCCACCUCUUUUUUGCAAACUCCCAUUUGCCUUUAAAAACUCAACUUAGUUCUCACCUCUGGUGUCGCUUUGAAGCCCUGGUCUGAUUUAUUGCCUCCCACCCCACCGUCUGUGCCCACGAAAUCUAUGCCUGACUCUGGCUCUGUCAUAGCCCGUAUUGUAUUUUAGUGUAAUCCUCUGUUUAUCCCUCUCUCCAACCAGUCUGUGAGCUCCUUGCAUGGUGGGGAUGAGAUCUUUGGUGUUUUUGAUCCCUACAAAUAUUUUCUGGUACAUUACGGUUGCUCUACAUAGAUAUUUGCUGAAGGAAUAAAUGCCUAAUCUAUAUCCAUACCGGAGUCUUCUCCAGAGGCUGGAAGGACCAUCCUAGAUUGUCUUUCCAAGCAAAAUACAGGAGAAUAUGGGAGUAGCUGAUAGAAGAAUGUCAGGAUAAUGGGGCCUUCUUGGGAGUGCAUCUCUGGCCUCCUCUCCCAUUCCAACAUGAAGAAGCUAUAACUGGCCUUUCAAACUACUUCCCUACUCCCUGGACAGAGAAACUAAUUCCUUACCAGGAGUAAGCAUAUGGGAGGGCCUUGGCUCUGAGCAAGAAGUCAACUACAAAGGCUUUGAUGUGUAACCGCAGUUCACCCAUCUCCACACUGAUGGGGGGUGUGGAUCUGAACUGUAAGGCCCCACAGGGCUGCUAAUGAACACAGAUAGUGUCCUCUUUCUGGUCACAGAAGGCCCCUAACUAUUUUUUUCUUCAGGAAGUGACUACUUUCCAUCAUUGUGAGGGCUCAGAGGACCCCUAGUCCUUCAAAUAGUUGGUCGUAAUGUUAAUGGUUUUCCUGGCUUGGGCUUAUCUAUUUCUAUAAGCAUGGCUAGAAAUUUUACUUGAAAGAAUGAAAGGAAGAAAGAAAGAAAAAAGAAUAGAUUUGCUCCAAUGGAUAACUGACUCUGCUCUGAGAAAUAGUCAGGUUGUGAAGGCUGUGUGUUUUGAUUUGUUUUCUUUUAAGAUGAGACCAGCCAUCUCUUGGCUUGGGUUGACUGCCAUUUCUCUGGGCUUACCCUGGAAGGUUCGUGAGGUUGUUUUAUUCCAGUUAACAUCUCAGUAAUUGGAAAUGUUUGGGGUGAAAGGAACCAGUGACAAGAGGAAGGGAUUACCCAUUGAGGGAUCACUGGGAGUAAGGGAAAAGAAAAAGUGGGAAAGUUAUGAGAAAUAUCGCAGAGGAGGAUGUUUUAAAAAAGUGGCUCCCUUGUGAUGGUCCCACAGCCAAGUUAAAAUGGCUACUGUAAAUCAUCUAGCUGUCAGCUGAAAGGUGCUUGAGCUUUGAUUGGGUCUUUUCUUAUAUGUAGAAACACUGGUGGGUCUUGAUGUCUGCAUGUGUCUUUAUUACUUUUCAGUCUCUUUUGACAAAUGAAUUAUGCUUCCAAAGUUGGGUCUCAGGUUGUUGGUGAACUUUAUAAACUCAGUUUUGUCCACUGAAGGGCACUCUGAUACUUAAAUUGUGCACAGUAGACCCAGAUCUCCUGUUACGAAACCACACUUCCGUGACUUAGCAUUUGUAGGUAUUAGAAUGAGUCAUUUUGUCUAUGUCAGUUUUCUCUUGGGUAAAAUGGGAAUAACUGUAGCAGUUCUUACCUUGCGAGAUGGUUGUGAGAAAGAGAGGAUCUAGGAGAAGUGCUUCCUGCCUGGCACAUGGGAUGGCUCCUUCUCCCCCUGUCUUGUCACCUUUCCUUCCCUCCCUCUCUGUUUGAAUGGUCCCCUGCACAUGGGAUCUCUGCUUUCAUAGGAGUCAUUUUCAGAAUGCAUCCUUCCCAGGAGAUAAGACAAUUGAGAAUCUUGUUAUAGUUCUACAAUAGUAAGCACCUGGGUUAUCUUUCCAUUUAUCAAAAAUAGUUAGCUUGACCCUUGAUAAAAUCCCUGUGAGGAUACUCAUGACCUUGUACCUGACCAGGCAUGAGCCUUCAACAGCACUGGCUCUGCGUGGCUCUGCAGCAGCAGUUAAUAUAAUGAGGCAGGGAAUGUGGCAGUUCUCUCAUGAUACUGGAUGUCCGUUUCAUUCUCUGCCCUAUCUCCUUUCCAGGGACCCCAAUGACAUCAUAAAGGGGUGUUGACUAUCUCGGCGCCAGACCCAUUAGGAAGAAAGCUGAAGACCCAGGACUGAGCCCAAAGCACAGUCACACAUUGGAAAGCAUUUCUUACUACAGAAAACUGAGCACCUUCUGAGCUCAAAGGAAGAUCUAGAAUUCAUGGGGGUUAGGGACUGGUUCUUCCCUUCUAACCAUUUUUCCAAUCUCUCAUAUCUAAGUCCAUUUCCUCUCUCCCCGCUGUCCCCCUUUCCCCGUCAAAGAAACUGCUAACAAUGUCUAUAGAAUUAUUGAGCUUUGUUGUUUAAAUUCAUUUUCAGGAAUUAUUGACCCAAUAGAACUUAAUGACACCUUGGAGUUGAGGCCCUUUGUAUAAAUCCUUCUUUCUUUGCAGAUUAAUGGACAGAUGGGAUUUGAAGGGGGCUCCAAUGUCCAAAUGCUAAUUAUAGAUUUCUAUAGCAGAAUUUCAGCUGAAAAUUACUAUUCCUGCAUACUAGCUUGAUUUUUUAAAAACUAGAUUGCCACCAACACAAAAUUCAAUUGAUAUCCCUUUCCUUAAAAAAAAAAAAA